Molecule: ribosomal RNA, 472 nt
Filed under: uncultured bacterium
Lineage: Bacteria
Description: bacterial SSU rRNA
Rfam family: Bacterial small subunit ribosomal RNA
Source: RNAcentral
UGGGGAAUUUUGGACAAUGGGCGCAAGCCUGAUCCAGCCAUGCCGCGUGAGUGAAGAAGGCCUUCGGGUUGUAAAGCUCUUUCGGCGGGGACGAAACGGUUCGUGACAACACCACGGACUAAUGACGGUACCCGCAUAAGAAGCACCGGCUAACUACGUGCCAGCAGCCGCGGUAAUACGUAGGGUGCAAGCGUUAAUCGGAAUUACUGGGCGUAAAGCGUGCGCAGGCGGUUUUGUAAGUCUGAUGUGAAAUCCCCGGGCUCAACCUGGGAAUUGCAUUGGAGACUGCAAGGCUAGAAUCUGGCAGAGGGGGGUAGAAUUCCACGUGUAGCAGUGAAAUGCGUAGAUAUGUGGAGGAACACCGAUGGCGAAGGCAGCCCCCUGGGUCAAGAUUGACGCUCAUGCACGAAAGCGUGGGGAGCAAACAGGAUUAGAUACCCCGGUAGUCCCUGAGCGGGCUGGCAAGGCGCAU